Molecule: ribosomal RNA, 460 nt
Filed under: uncultured bacterium
Lineage: Bacteria
Description: partial 16S ribosomal RNA
Rfam family: Bacterial small subunit ribosomal RNA
Source: RNAcentral
UCUACGGGAGGCAGCAGUGAGGAAUAUUGGUCAAUGGACGCAAGUCUGAACCAGCCAAGUCGCGUGCAGGAAGACGGCUCUAUGAGUUGUAAACUGCUUUUGUACGAGGGUAAACGCAGAUACGCGUAUCUGUCUGAAAGUAUCGUACGAAUAAGGAUCGGCUAACUCCGUGCCAGCAGCCGCGGUAAUACGGAGGAUUCAAGCGUUAUCCGGAUUUAUUGGGGUUAAAGGGUGCGUAGGCGGUGGGAUAAGUUAGAGGUGAAAUUCCGGGGCUCAACUUCGGAAUUGCCUUUGAUACUGUGAGGCUAGAGAGGACGUGCGGUAGGCGGAAUGCAUGGUGUAGCGGUGAAAUGCUUAGAGAUCAUACAGAACACCGAUUGCGAAGGCAGCUUACCGGGCUACUACUGACGUUGAGGCACGAAAGCGUGGGGAGCAAACAGGAUUAGAUACCCGAGUAGUC